CAUAUUUACGAAUAUCAGUAUGUUCAUUGAUUUUUCUACGAACAUAUACAACGAACAUCAAUAUGUUCAUCGGUGUUUCUACGAACAUAUUGACGAACAUCAGUAUGUUCAUUGAUUAUUUUCUACGAACACUUCCUUGACGAUAUGCAGAUCUGCAGAUCCGGCGGCGGCACGGCGCGACGGCCGCCACCACGAGCGUUCACCAUCGCCGUCUUCAUCGGCUUCACCCUGACGACGCCGGGGCAGCACAGCCUCGAGAAUCCCUCCGCCUGGGGAUUGAAGAGAGAUCGAAGGGGGUGUCAAGAUUUACGACUUAGGGUUUCGGGUGGCGGCGGCUGAUAUUGAUCGGUCAAGAGAGGAGAGCGAGGGCGGUGGCCAUAGCACCUGCGGUGGUCGCCGGAGAUCGAAAGAAAAUAGUGCAGAUUUAGGGAUCUAGAGUUGAGGGCGAGCGGCGGUGGUCGUGGCUCCACCUGCGACGGCGGCCAUUACCAAGGAAGGAAGGGACGAUGAUUUUGAGGAGAGAGGGACGGACAUGGGGGAGCGGCGCUGCUGGUCUGGCGCGGCUUCGCCGGAAAAGAGACCUCCAUUGUCAAGUAUAUGAGAGAGAGAGAUAGAGAGAGAGAGAGAAA
This 629-nucleotide long non-coding RNA is filed under the name Salvia miltiorrhiza (redroot sage). RNAcentral describes it as "long non-coding RNA (SMIL_LNC011977)". Lineage: Eukaryota; Viridiplantae; Streptophyta; Magnoliopsida; Lamiales; Lamiaceae. The record is from RNAcentral.